Molecule: non-coding RNA, 108 nt
Organism: Erinaceus europaeus (western European hedgehog)
Lineage: Eukaryota; Metazoa; Chordata; Mammalia; Eulipotyphla; Erinaceidae
Source: Rfam
AUGCUCGCUUUGGCAGCACAGACACAAAAAUUGGAAUGAUACGGAAAAGACUGGCAUGGCCCCCUGUGCAAGGAUGACAUACAAAUCUGCAAAGUGUUCCAUAUUUUU